AUCCUCCAUCUCAUUUCUGACCUUCAACUCCUCCAGGUAGAGUCUUUCUGCCUCAGGUGUCAAUUUGAAUUGCAAUGAAAAGACCCCUUCUUCCACAAUUUCAAACACAGCGGGGAAUUUUUUCAACAAAGCAAUAAAUCGACGCCUUUUCUGAAGACCCAGUUCUCUUCUGUACCUACCCAAUUGCCUAAGCGACAUAGUUCUAUCAGGUUGAUUGACCAGAAUCUUCCUUAUCUUCAAUACUAAUUUAAGUUUCUUAUCCCUUUGAAUCACGUUAUCAAAGGGAAGCUCUUUUCGUCUCUUCACAACAGCUCUUACCGGUUCAAAUGGAGAAUGAGUUUUCCUC
RNAcentral lists this unclassified non-coding RNA (346 nucleotides) under Hevea brasiliensis (rubber tree). Lineage: Eukaryota; Viridiplantae; Streptophyta; Magnoliopsida; Malpighiales; Euphorbiaceae. The record is from RNAcentral.